This is a long non-coding RNA of Magallana angulata, 3039 nucleotides long. RefSeq lists it as uncharacterized. The record is from RefSeq and is a predicted model, not a curated record. Lineage: Eukaryota; Metazoa; Mollusca; Bivalvia; Ostreida; Ostreidae. The transcript is spliced from 4 exons.
UAUGGGGUAUACCUGAUAGCAUUAAUGCCUUUUUACGACAUGUGCACUGACUCACUAAAUAAAAUGUCCCCUGUACAGGUAAUCCGUGUUUAUUGGCAGUAUUGAGAAAUUCAAUUGCAACGACAUCCGGUGGAGAUACAAUGUAGGACACACAAAAGAAAUGAGCACGUUUUCUGCUGUCAAGUACUCUAGGCUGAGUGGUACUGAGGAACAUGAAUUUACUAACACCUGUAGUAGCACACAAAAUAAUUACGGAACAUCCGGAUCACUGGACCAAAUCAUUAACGGUCACCUUAAUCCACUAGAUGUCGUAAAGACCGAAUAUCCACCAUCAAAUGAUAAUGAUCUCAUUCGUGUUCACAAACCAUUGAAGGACAGAUUAAAAUUCGCAAUUCCUGUAUGUCUUUUAUGCUUCAUUCCGACUGGAAUCAUGGCUAUCGUCUAUGCAUUACAGUCCAGAACGGCGUGGAAGCGGGGUGAAAUCAAGUUGGCCAAAGAGAAAUCCAGCAUUUCUAAAGACUUCAUUCGAGCAUCAGUGUGUAUAGGAAUGUUUAUGUACAUUCUCAUCUUAGUAGCUGUUUUAUUUUUGGUCACUUUACACGUGCAUUCUUGAAAUCCGGUAAAUACGAAGACUGUUCUGAUAGUUCAUAGACAAACGUAUCCAAUACUUAAAAAUAAUGCAUUUUACUAAAUCAAAUGCAAAUGUUUACAGUAAAGUAAGUUAUAUCAUAAAGUUGAGAGACGGCGCUAUGUCAAAAACUAAAAGCUAAGAUCAUCAUAAGGAAUUUCAAACUACAACCAUUAAGAAAAGUAUGUUCCAAAAAAAAAUUUUGAAAGGAAAAAAUGUAUAUAUGAUAUUCGUAAAGGCUAAUUCACACCCCCCCCCCCCCCGAUUUCUUAGUUAUACCAUUUUAUCUAGAAAUGUUGUAUCAUGGUUUGCAACAGAUGAAGUGAAAUGUUUAUGUGAAUAAAUUAACAAUAGAGGUGGCGCACUGUCAACUAAAACCUUUAGAGACCUACGAAUAUGAUGACACAAAGAAACAAGAGGCCCAUGGCUCACAUCACUCACCUAAACAAAUCCCAACGAAGACCAUAUAGAUUAGAUUGCUCUUAUUUAUGGUCAAUAUUGAGCCUGGUAGAUAGGCUAGCAGUGAUGUAUUUACUUAAGGGAUUGUUAUAUCAAUUUUUUGUUUGAAAAAUGUAACUGACAUUAAUUAUCAGUAAUUGAUAAUAAUUACGCGGGGGUGUUAAGGAAGCAUAUGGAAUCUGAGUUACAUGUAAUUCCGUGAAAAUCACAAAUCUUAGUUAUUAUGUACAUGUUCAAAUAUCCAAGCAACGAAACGUAGACCAAAAACAAAUAAAGAUACUGAAGACAGUUUUUUUUUUUACAGAAAUUAGUUUGUAUUGCGUAGAUUUACACAUUGAUGACGUCAUGACUAAAAGUUGAAUGUCCUUUAAAUUUGAUCGGAAAGCAUUGUAAACAUAUCCAAAAUAUAACUUAUCUAAGAACUCUAAUAAAGUUUUGUGGUGUGAUUUAUUGAGAAUUGAACAUAAGAAUACUGGGAGAGAAGUUAGUUUUAUCAAUCAUUCGCUAAAAUGUAUGUCAAUUUACUUUUAUUUCUCGGUCAGGCUUUCCCCUGUCGUUGUUUACGAUAUAAAAAUCAGACUAGAACAACACUACCCCGUAUAUACUGAAUUUGUUUAUACGCAUCGUUAGUUUGAUCAAUGCUUAAAUUGAAAAGUGCUGCUAGAAUUCCAUGUUGUGUGUUGUUUUGAUGCAACAUACCGUUUUCCGUGCUAACUUUAAAAAAGUUGGGAGGGUUUUACGAGAGCCGGAUGAAUAACUAUUUAAUCAAGAAGAACAUAGAAUUCUAGCAGCGGUUAUGAUUAAACUGAGAUGUUUUGCCUUCACUUGGUAUGUUUAUUUUAUUUUGGAAACCGCGGGGUUGUGUUGUAUUAUCUCAUUUUAUGUUAAGGAAUAUACGUAAGCUAUUUAUAGUUUAUAUUUAUAGUUAUUUAUAGUGAUAAUGCACCAAUGUGGCAGUAAUGUAAUACCCGAUUUUAUCGCACUGACAUCUAUUUUAAAGGAUAAUACUAAGUUUUUGAUCUUAUUCAAGAUAGUUAUUUAAUUUCACGAUUUUUAAUAUAACAGUCAAAAUAAGACGCUAAAUUGCCCAUAUGCUUCCUUAACAUCCCCGCGUAAGACGGUUUUUCCUUGAAAUCAGAUAAGAUAAUAUAAAAUAAUAAUAUAUUUUUCUCACUCGCUAAACUUGUUUUCUUUACACACAUAUAUUGUAAGAACUCAUUAUUUGUAUAAAAUAUGACAUUGAAUAAAACUAACAUGAUUAUAUUCAGACCCCUGAUCAAGUGUUCCACAGUUCCCAAUAACAGGUUUUGAACCAUUUUAAGAUAAACUAAAUGUGUCACAUACAUGUAAUUGGAAAAAAAAUGUGUGUGAUGAGUACUAUUGUACAGUAUGUAGAAUACACCACAGGAAAUGAAAUAAUUGCAAUAAUCAAUGUGUAAUUAUAUUAUAACAUGUAUAUAACAAGACAUUUUCCAAGGUCAACGGUUUUUGAUCCGCUCCGCUCUACAUAAACCCUUAACCGAACUGGCAAUACAUGUGCGGGUUAACUAUUGCUCGAUCUAUCGAGAUAACACAUUUUUUAACGUUGGUGACCUCUUAUUUUGACCAAUAAAAAAAGUUUUUUGAAAAAGAAAUGCUUAGAAACAUGGCUGCGCCCAUUUACAAGUUGUAUAUAGAAAAGAAAAGACGGAUUUAUUGGAACUAAAAGUCAACUAGAAACGAGCUUGUUGCAAAGCAACGAUUGGGUCUUCCGUCGCAGCUGCGUCAUACUUGUGACGAAAUACAAAAUUGAUUACGUUGCUAUGAAACAAUGUUAGAUGUAUAGACCCUGAAUUCAACAGACAAAUGCUUUCGAUUUGAUAUACGUAAAAGUUUGUUUCAAGAUGAUUUGUUUAUGAAAUACAAUUGCUCUGGAGCCAUAAACAUGUACAUUAAAGUUAAUUGAUAUACUA